GACGAACGCUGGCGGCGUGCUUAACACAUGCAAGUCGAGCGGUAAGGCCCUUUCGGGGUACGACGAGCGGCGAACGGGUAGGAGUAACAACGUGGGUGGACCUCGCCCUCCAGCUCUGGGAGUAAAGCCUCGGGAAACCGGGGUACCGUAAUAACCGGAUAUGACUCCAUGACGCAUGUUGUGGGGUGGAAAGACCUUGUGCGGCUGAGGAUGGGCCCGGCCGGCCUAUCAGCUUGUUGGUGGGGUGGAUGGCCUACCAAGGCGACGACGGGUAGCCGGCCUGAGAGGGCGACCGGCCACACUGGGACUGAGACACGGCCCAGACUCCUACGGGAGGCAGCAGUGGGGGAAUCUUGCGCAAUGGGGCGAAAGCCUGACGCAGCGACGCCGCGUGAGGGAUGAC
Molecule: ribosomal RNA, 403 nt
Filed under: uncultured bacterium
Lineage: Bacteria
Description: bacterial SSU rRNA
Rfam family: Bacterial small subunit ribosomal RNA
Source: RNAcentral